Callorhinus ursinus (northern fur seal) is the source of this 1323-nucleotide non-coding RNA. NCBI's taxonomy places the organism in Eukaryota, Metazoa, Chordata, Mammalia, Carnivora, Otariidae. The record is from RefSeq and is a predicted model, not a curated record.
CUUGCUCCUGUUGGGGGCACCAGGGGAUGGGGGCACCGUAAGUGGCCAUACCCUUGGCCCAGCCCUUGUGGGACUUCUAUCCCAAAGCUGGUUGGCUAAGACCCAAACUACUCCCGGCGCCUGUUCUGGAAUGACUCUAUGCGGUGGUUACAAAGCAUAAGCACGGGCUCUAGCCUGAGGAUCCCUAGGUUCAAAUCCCACACUCCCCGCUACUAGUGUCCAAAUUCCAAGUUUUAAUCUAAUCUACUCCCUCCCGUCUUCCCUCCUAUCAGCCCCCUCCUUCCAGCUGUUCAGGCCCCAACCCUUGGGAGUCACAACUUUCUUAGUCCCCACGUCCGCCCUCAGCAAAUCCUGUCAGCCUCACCUUCGAACUACAUCCAGAAUCCGACCACUUCAAACCAGCGUCAUUGCCACCCCCAUCAUCGCUCGCCUGAAUUAGGGUAGUAGGCCUCACCAGUCUCCCCAGUCCCACCUUUGCCCCCAUAGUCUGUUCUCCAAUCAGCGGACAGAGGGAUAUUUUCUUGCACAGAGCAGCUAUUUAACCACAGAUUCUACAGGCAGACACACUGUGUACAAAUUCUGAACCUGCAGCUCCUUGACCAGGUGGCCUAUGGCAAGUUACUUAACUUUGCUGACCCUCAGUUUCCUCAUCUAUAAAUAAGAAAAAAAAAGCUGACAUUUUUCUAGCAUUCGGUAUGUAGCAGGUACUGUUCUAAGUAACUUCUAUGUUUUAUUAACUAAUUUAACCCUCAUAACUCUGUAUGAGCUAGAUACUACUAAUCAUCUCCAUUUUACAGAUGAAGAAAAUGAACCACAGAGAAUGUGGGUACUCGACUUCAAAGUCAUAGAGAUUCCUCUUGGAGAUGCCGAGGGCAGGGCAAGAGAGCUUGGCCAGGCGGCACAGGUCCUGUAGCUGAUUCCAAGAAGACUUGCAACACACACUGCAGCCUGGGACAAGGAGGGCAGAAAGAACUUAAUGGGCAUCCUGGCGAAGCCACGGGUCAAAGGGAACCCCAAAUCCUCUCUGGGACUUCCAAAGGGCUGCCUCAGAGUCAGUGAGAUUUAAUCCACAGGACUUCCCAAUGCUGAGACCCUUCUACAACAAAAAUGUGCCACUUCUUCAACCCCAGUGCUCAUUCCAAGGCUACCCCUGGAGCAGUAGACCUCAAAGUGGGAUCUGCUGGAUGGAUUAUCCUAAAGGAAUCUAUUCCCAGCAGCUUCCAACUCCCUCCAUACUAUUCCUAAAACUGCCCGCAAACCUGCCUAGGGUUCAGGACCUAAUCAUCCCUCUCCCCACUUUGCAAAAUAAAGAGAACAAACCCC